CUCUUCCGUGGCGAUGGAUCUCCGCCGAGGCAGCCCCGUGGGAGUGUCUGAACCGCCCCGGACCGGGGCUGAUGGUUCCUUCCCUCGC
RNAcentral lists this non-coding RNA (88 nucleotides) under Nocardia salmonicida. Its description in RNAcentral is "Nocardia soli Fluoride sequence". It matches the Rfam family "Fluoride riboswitch aptamer (crcB RNA motif)". Lineage: Bacteria; Bacillati; Actinomycetota; Actinomycetes; Mycobacteriales; Nocardiaceae. The record is from RNAcentral.